This 254-nucleotide ribosomal RNA is filed under the name uncultured bacterium. RNAcentral's name for it is "partial 16S ribosomal RNA". It matches the Rfam family "Bacterial small subunit ribosomal RNA", at positions 524 to 776 of the family's 1533-position model. The record is from RNAcentral.
UACGGAGGGUGCGAGCGUUAUCCGGAAUCACUGGGUUUAAAGGGUGCGUAGGCCGUGGGGCAAGUCUGUCGUGAAAUGCAGCGGCUCAACCGUGUGAACUGCGAUGGAAACUGCUUCACUUGAAUCGUGGCGGGGCUGGCGGAAUGUGGCAUGUAGCGGUGAAAUGCAUAGAUAUGCCAUAGAACACCGAUCGCGAAGGCAGCUGGCCAGCCACCGAUUGACGCUGAGGCACGAAAGUGUGGGGAGCAAACAGG